This is a long non-coding RNA of Oxyura jamaicensis (ruddy duck), 207 nucleotides long. RefSeq lists it as uncharacterized. The transcript has 3 exons. The record is from RefSeq and is a predicted model, not a curated record. Lineage: Eukaryota; Metazoa; Chordata; Aves; Anseriformes; Anatidae.
GAGGGGGACGUUUUGGGGCCGCCCAGCUCCUUGGCUCCGACGGAGGGUCUCUGCACCCAGCUGGCACUGUGGGAGGACAAAGAAGCCUCUGUGCUUGCGCAGCACGAGCAGUUCCCCACCUUCUGCAGUCCCCCCGCUGGCGCGCACGAUCCGCUGCUGAUGCGCAGCCCACGGCACGGCUCUGAGCAUCCAGGGAAGGCUUUGGGG